GACGAACGCUGGCGGCGUGCUUAACACAUGCAAGUCGAACGAAGAGCGACGGAAGCUUGCUUCUAUCAAUCUUAGUGGCGAACGGGUGAGUAACGCGUAAUCAACCUGCCCUUCAGAGGGGGACAACAGUUGGAAACGACUGCUAAUACCGCAUACGAUCUAACCUCGGCAUCGAGGAUAGAUGAAAGGUGGCCUCUACAUGUAAGCUAUCACUGAAGGAGGGGAUUGCGUCUGAUUAGCUAGUUGGAGGGGUAACGGCCCACCAAGGCGAUGAUCAGUAGCCGGUCUGAGAGGAUGAACGGCCACAUUGGGACUGAGACACGGCCCAGACUCCUACGGGAGGCAGCAGUGGGGAACCUUCCGCAAUGGACGAAAGUCUGACGGAGCAACGCCGCGUGAGUGCUGACGGCCUUCGGGUUGUAAAGCUCUGUUAAUCGGGACGAAAGGCCUUCUUGCGAAUAGUGAGAAGGAUUGACGGUACCGGAAUAGAAAGCCACGGCUAACUACGUG
This 510-nucleotide ribosomal RNA is filed under the name uncultured bacterium. Its description in RNAcentral is "partial 16S ribosomal RNA". It matches the Rfam family "Bacterial small subunit ribosomal RNA", at positions 28 to 507 of the family's 1533-position model. The record is from RNAcentral.